RNAcentral lists this transfer RNA (92 nucleotides) under Actinomycetota bacterium. Its description in RNAcentral is "Actinobacteria bacterium (freshwater metagenome) tRNA-Ser". It matches the Rfam family "tRNA". From Rfam's summary of the family: Transfer RNA (tRNA) molecules are approximately 80 nucleotides in length. Their secondary structure includes four short double-helical elements and three loops (D, anti-codon, and T loops). The record is from RNAcentral. Lineage: Bacteria; Bacillati; Actinomycetota.
GGAGAUGGCACCUGCUUGGUAUGUAGGCGCCUCACUGCUAAUGAGGUUUUCCCGAAAGGGAAUCGGAGGUUCAAAUCCUCUCGUCUCCGCCA